UGGGGAAUAUUGGACAAUGGGCGAAAGCCUGAUCCAGCCAUGCCGCGUGUGUGAAGAAGGUCUUCGGAUUGUAAAGCACUUUAAGUUGGGAGGAAGGGCAGUAAGCGAAUACCUUGCUGUUUUGACGUUACCGACAGAAUAAGCACCGGCUAACUCUGUGCCAGCAGCCGCGGUAAUACAGAGGGUGCAAGCGUUAAUCGGAAUUACUGGGCGUAAAGCGCGCGUAGGUGAUUCGUUAAGUUGAAUGUGAAAGCCCCGGGCUCAACCUGGGAACUGCAUCCAGAACUGGCGAGCUAGAGUAGGGCAGAGGGGGGUGGAAUUUCCUGUGUAGCGGUGAAAUGCGUAGAUAUAGGAAGGAACACCAGUGGCGAAGGCGACCACCUGGGCUCAUACUGACACUGAGGUGCGAAAGCGUGGGGAGCAAACAGG
This 429-nucleotide ribosomal RNA is filed under the name Pseudomonadota bacterium. RNAcentral's name for it is "Proteobacteria bacterium partial 16S ribosomal RNA". It matches the Rfam family "Bacterial small subunit ribosomal RNA", at positions 355 to 776 of the family's 1533-position model. Lineage: Bacteria; Pseudomonadati; Pseudomonadota. The record is from RNAcentral.